GCCCCUGUAGCUCAAUUGGAUAGAGCGGCUCCGUCCUAAGGAGAAGGUUGCCUGUUCAACUCAGGCCAGGGGCA
This 74-nucleotide transfer RNA is filed under the name Elusimicrobia bacterium RIFOXYA2_FULL_39_19. Its description in RNAcentral is "tRNA-Arg". Lineage: Bacteria; Pseudomonadati; Elusimicrobiota. RNAcentral also lists the same sequence under 2 other names. The record is from RNAcentral.